RNAcentral lists this ribosomal RNA (253 nucleotides) under uncultured bacterium. Its description in RNAcentral is "partial 16S ribosomal RNA". It matches the Rfam family "Bacterial small subunit ribosomal RNA", at positions 524 to 776 of the family's 1533-position model. The record is from RNAcentral.
UACGGGGGGGGCAAGCGUUGUUCGGAAUUACUGGGCGUAAAGGGCUCGUAGGCGGCCAACUAAGUCAGACGUGAAAUCCCUCGGCUUAACCGGGGAACUGCAUCUGAUACUGGACGGCUUGAGAUUGGGAGAGGGAUGCGGAAUUCCAGGUGUAGCGGUGAAAUGCGUAGAUAUCUGGAGGAACACCGGUGGCGAAGGCGGCGUCCUGGACCAACACUGACACUGGGGAGCGAAAGCCAGGGGAGCAAACGGG